Molecule: ribosomal RNA, 405 nt
Filed under: uncultured bacterium
Lineage: Bacteria
Description: bacterial SSU rRNA
Rfam family: Bacterial small subunit ribosomal RNA
Source: RNAcentral
CUAAGAAUCUUGCGCAAUGGGCGAAAGCCUGACGCAGCAAUUCCGCGUGGAGGACGAAGGCCUUCGGGUUGUAAACUCCUUUUGUGAGGGAAGAAGUUCUGACGGUACCUCACGAAUAAGACACGGCUAACUACGUGCCAGCAGCCGCGGUAAUACGUAGGUGUCGAGCGUUGUCCGGAUUUAUUGGGCGUAAAGCGCCCGCAGGCGGCCAGGCAAGUCCAGGGUGAAAUCUCCCGGCUCAACCGGGAGGGUGCCCUGGAAACUGCCAGGCUUGAGGCAGGGAGAGGGAUGUGGAAUUCCCGGUGUAGUGGUGAAAUGCGUAGAUAUCGGGAGGAACACCAGUGGCGAAGGCGGCAUCCUGGCCCUGUCCUGACGCUCAGGGGCGAAAGCGUGGGGAGCAAACCG